Neopelma chrysocephalum (saffron-crested tyrant-manakin) is the source of this 2301-nucleotide long non-coding RNA. RefSeq lists it as uncharacterized. The record is from RefSeq and is a predicted model, not a curated record. The transcript has 3 exons. Lineage: Eukaryota; Metazoa; Chordata; Aves; Passeriformes; Pipridae.
ACUUGCAUGGCAAAGGACUGGAGUAGAAAAUAGAAGUCUACUAGACUUUUCAUUCAAGAAUGUAAAAUUCACCGAAGCCUAAAAAUCUGUAAGUUUGAGCCCAAUGUAUGUUUAACACUAGUGCUAUUAAGAUAGAAGAGAGCCACUUCAAACACAGUAAGUGAGAGCAGCAGACCUGACGAGGUUGGGAUGGAGUGCAAUUGUUCCAAGCAGACUGGCUGGAACCAGAUCUAGGAAGGAGCAUGCUGCUUCCCAAAAGUCAGUGUUGAGCACCAGUGAAGAGACAAGAAUAUCAUCCAAGAUCAGUUCCUAACAAUAAAGGAAACAGAUCUUCUCUCUCAUGUCCGAAUGCCUCAGUACUAUAAAGCUCCUACCAUUACCAUCAAGAAACUUGGAUGUGCAAGUGGAAUUCUAAAUUGAACCAUAGGAGAAAAUGACCCUCUUAGAUUUGGUAAAAAUAUUUAGAAUUACGGUUUCUUUCAAAGCUGGAAAGCAGAUUUGCAGAAAAGGACCUCAAAUUUCAUAUGGAUACCAAGCUGAACAUAAGCCAAAAACAUGCCCUGGGGACAAAGGAGGCCAACAAUAUCCCAGCUGCAUUAGAAGUGUUGCCAGCAGGUCUCAGGAAGUGAUCCCGCCCCUCUUCCCAGCCCUAGUGAGGCCAGAUCUGGAGAGCUGUGUCCAGUGUUGGGCUCCCAAAUAAUGAAAAACAUGGAGCUCCUGGAGGGGGUCCAGCAGAGUGCAACAAAAAUGAUUAAGGGACUGAAGCAUCUGUCAUAUGAGGGAAGGCUGAGGGAGCUGGGGCUGCUCAGCCUCAAGAAGAAAAGACUCGUGGGUAUCUUAUCAGUGUAUACAAAUAUCUGAAGGAAGGGUGCAAAGAGGAUGGAAACAGGCUCUUUUCAGAGGUGCCCAGUCAGAGGACCAGAGGCAACAGGCACAAACUGAAACACAGGAGGUUCCAUCUGAACAUCAGCAACCACUUUUUCACUGAGCACUGGCACAGGUUGUCCAGAGAAGUUGUGGUGUCUCCAUACUUGGAGAGUUUCAAAAGAUAUCUGGACGCAGUCCUGCGUAACCUGCUUUAGGAGGCCCUUCCUUGAGCAGCAGGUGUGAACAAGAAGAAUUCAAGAGGUGCCUUCCAAGCUCAAUCAUUCCUUUUUUUUUUAAUUUAAUAUCAUAUUUUAAAGCACAGCAAUUUCAAUAAAAUACAAUUUCAUAAAUAUAACCAAUAUGGGUUAAUUUAUGAGAAUUCAUGAUACUUCGAAGCAAGAGUUGUCACUGUGCACAACUGCUAUUUAAACACUUCUGACAAGGGGAAAAAAAAAAGGUGUUCUGAAAAAUCGUGACACACUCUGCUGAGAUUACGCUAUCUUUGCUGGCAUGCAAGUAACAGCUCCAGGCUGAUCUGCAAAUGUGAAACGGUCAUGGAUCAAGGUUCUUUACCUUUGACUGGCACUUUACACACGUACUUUAACCCUUCCAACUUCUGGUGCAAUAUACUUCUGUGUUUGUAGCCUUACCCAAAGAACAUACAUGAAUCACACUUGGCUUUUUAUGGUUCUUAUUAUCCAAAAAGCUUAGCAGAAGAUUUUAUGAUUCUCAGCUAGAGAAGUGCUCAGGAGUACAUAAUACCAGACCAUUUAGCUAAAGUCUGUUUUACUUGCAGAUAGCCUUUUUUGAGUAUUGACUCAAUUUAGAAAAACAAAAUAAUGUCAGUAUCACGAGUGUAUCAGUGCACCGCUGAUGUUAUAAACCCCUUGUUACUAAAGGUUUAGAGAAUGAGUGCCACCAGCACAAAACAUUAAUGACUUGGCUAAAACAAAAGAGAUGCAAAUAUAACACAAGUACUAAAGAAGACAUAUUUUAUAUCAAGAAAACAUAUGACAGCACAUAUUUUUUAACAAAGAGGAUUUGCUCUAAUAGCAGCUACAUGAGGCUCUGCCUAACACGACUAUUACCUUUCUCCUCUCAAAAUUAUACCAGCAAAUCAGAGUAUAUACCAAACUCUUACACUGGUAGAACUCAAAACUUGGCAGAUUUUCUCCUUUAAAAAAAGAGGCAAAAGGUAUUCUUCAGAGUAAACAGCAACCAUACAUGGCUACUAUUCCUAGGAAGUUUAUUUCUGUGAGGAGUUUAGCAAGGAAAGGCAUGUACUUCCAGGGAGAAUUACAUACAAGUGCUGUUACAUUUAGGAUAUUGGUACCUAUACUGAUUUACUGAAGAGCUUUGGAUUUUGCCAAAAAACCUGAAUGAAGCACUACUGCUCAAACAAAAAAAAACACCCCAAAACCAAAAUAACAACAA